RNAcentral lists this long non-coding RNA (505 nucleotides) under Mytilus galloprovincialis (Mediterranean mussel). The record is from RNAcentral. Lineage: Eukaryota; Metazoa; Mollusca; Bivalvia; Mytilida; Mytilidae.
AAGACUGACUGUAUUCAUCAAAGCAUUAUUAAGCUGUACACUGAUAUUUUUUUCAUAAUUUUGAAACCAGUUACUGAAGGAGAUUUGACCCGUUUCGUAGUGGACAUUUACAAAAAUACGGUAUCACUCUGGUCCAAUUGCUGCUGUGCUCAAUUUUUCUUAUCAACAAUUUAAUUGCCGUUAUAAAAGCAUCACUUCUUUUGUAAGACCCUAAUGUUUAUAUCUCUUGCAAACAAAAAAUUACAUUGAUUUUAUAAAACUGUUUAUUAGCAAGUUUUAAUGACUUCGUUUCGUAGUGGACAUUGUGUUAGGGACACACCUUCUGAAAUAAAAAAUCCUAUGUUAAAAGCUGUUUAUUAAAAUAUGUUGGCUCUAAACAUACUUUUGAUAUAUUAAAGAACUUAUAUUAAGUAAAAUUAAUAUUUAUUUCUACAUUUUUUUACGAUAUUUUAGAGUAUGAAUGUUGAGCAGGCGGUCUAGGGACAUGCCAUUUUGGUUGUUUUGG